CGUUAACUCAGUUGGUAUAGCAAUUGACUUUUAAUCAAUGGGUCACUGGUUCGAGCCC
Molecule: transfer RNA, 58 nt
Filed under: Streptococcus agalactiae
Lineage: Bacteria; Bacillati; Bacillota; Bacilli; Lactobacillales; Streptococcaceae
Description: tRNA-Val
Source: RNAcentral